This is a long non-coding RNA of Oryzias melastigma (Indian medaka), 771 nucleotides long. RefSeq lists it as uncharacterized. The transcript is spliced from 2 exons. The record is from RefSeq and is a predicted model, not a curated record. Lineage: Eukaryota; Metazoa; Chordata; Actinopteri; Beloniformes; Adrianichthyidae.
AAAAGCUGCAAUCUAUAAUUCUUCAUGCAUUACUGCAUUCAUCAGUGCCAAAACGCCUGCAGUCAAGAUUAUGGAUUUAUUGUAAGAGGUUGCGCAGCACCCAGGUGUUCAUAUGCAGCAGCUCCAAAGCGUGCCAGCAACAAAAACCCAGACCUAAUGGACUUGAUUUCAAGGGUCAGAAAUUCAAAGCAGUGUACGAUUUUUGAUUUCAAGCACAAAAAAUACAGACUAAAAUCUAGCUAGCCCAUCCCAAGGCAGCAGUUUAAUCCAUUUAUGCAAUAGAUGAAGGGCUCAAAGACCUACUCCAAUGAAAAUUGGGUUUUUAACAUGCUCUUGUAGCAUUCUUCUCAUGAUGGAGGACAAAAAAUAAUUUAAGGUUGCAUUUUUAAGAACUUCCUUGUUUAAAUUGCAUUGGAUCAGGAGCAGAUGACAACCAGCGGUUUGAAAAUGCUCUGCAGCAACUCCCUUCUCUACUACGAUUCUGAAGUAUCCACUUGCAGACAACCCAGAGGCGAAUUUCUAAUGAGCUGCAGAAAACGAAGACACAAGCUUUUUGAUUCUGGUUAAAAUUGCAUAAUCUUAGUUAAAUAAACCACUAGGAACAAAUUUACAAUAGAAAAAAAAUUGGACUUUUACAAAAUGAUGAAAAAAAAACCAUGGCAUUGAGGUCGAAGUCCAACACAUUCUCACUCCCAGCUAGUCAUAUAUGGACGUAUUUAUCUUCCUUCACAUCAACCUUCAGGAUUUACAGAGAACAGUAAAAAAAAAAAA